This 666-nucleotide long non-coding RNA is filed under the name Triticum aestivum (bread wheat). RNAcentral describes it as "long non-coding RNA (TAES_LNC000832)". The record is from RNAcentral. Lineage: Eukaryota; Viridiplantae; Streptophyta; Magnoliopsida; Poales; Poaceae.
UCGAAGUUUUCAAGUUCCACCCGUGCACUGUUUCCUGUUCUCCCACGCUUGCAUUGAGAUGAUUUUGCAGCACUCUUUCAAAGCCAAAGCUUCCAAAAGGUGUGAUUUCACCCCCUCAGUUCAAAGAUGGAAUCUACCGUGGGAGGACAAGGUUAUGGUCAACCUUGAUACUGCCAUCUUCUUACAAUCUGAAUAUAUUGGUGCUGGUGUUGUACUUUUGUGUCCCGUGAUCACUUCUAUGAGAAUGUGUGAUCACUUCUAUGAGAAUGUUUGCGAUCCUGAACCCGCUGAAGUAAUGGCCACUCGAUGUUCUUUUAUCCUGUUCUCUUGUUGAUGGUAUUCAGAGGAAUAUCUUAGCUUGUGAUUGUUCAUCUCUGGUGUCCAAGCUGAAUGCCUCUGAAGCUGAACGAUUGGCUACUGGCGCUGUCGCCCAUGACAUCAAGUUAUUACCGUUGUUGAAGUUUGUUUCAGUUUCCUUUAUUCAUGUUAGUCGAGCAUAUUAAUAGGGCGGCUCAUGCUAUCACGUGAUCUGCGGAGCAUGUUGUCGUAGGUGCUUGGUAUGUCGAAGCUCCGGAUUUCAUCGGAGCGGUACUUUGUAAUGAACUUGUUGUGAUUUAAUCAAUGAAGCGCCGCCCAUUGCCUAAAAAAACUUGCUAAAGUAUUGAG